Molecule: ribosomal RNA, 477 nt
Filed under: uncultured bacterium
Lineage: Bacteria
Description: partial 16S ribosomal RNA
Rfam family: Bacterial small subunit ribosomal RNA
Source: RNAcentral
AUUGAACGCUGGCGGCAUGCCUUACACAUGCAAGUCGAACGGUAACAGGUUAAGCUGACGAGUGGCGAACGGGUGAGUAAUGUAUCGGAACGUGCCCAGUCGUGGGGGAUAACUGCUCGAAAGAGCAGCUAAAACCGCAUACGACCUGAGGGUGAAAGCGGGGGAUCGCAAGACCUCGCGCGAUUGGAGCGGCCGAUAUCAGAUUAGGUAGUUGGUGAGGUAAAGGCUCACCAAGCCGACGAUCUGUAGCUGGUCUGAGAGGACGACCAGCCACACUGGGACUGAGACACGGCCCAGACUCCUACGGGAGGCAGCAGUGGGGAAUUUUGGACAAUGGGCGCAAGCCUGAUCCAGCCAUGCCGCGUGCGGGAAGAAGGCCUUCGGGUUGUAAACCGCUUUUGUCAGGGAAGAAAAGGUUCUGGCUAAUACCUGGGACUCAUGACGGUACCUGAAGAAUAAGCACCGGCUAACUACGUG